This 480-nucleotide ribosomal RNA is filed under the name uncultured bacterium. RNAcentral's name for it is "partial 16S ribosomal RNA". It matches the Rfam family "Bacterial small subunit ribosomal RNA", at positions 28 to 523 of the family's 1533-position model. The record is from RNAcentral.
GACGAACGCUGGCGGCGUGCUUAACACACGCAAGUCGAGCGGAAAGGCCCUUUCGGGGGUACUCGAGCGGCGAACGGGUGAGUAACACGUGAGUAAUCUGCCCCUGGCUUUGGGAUAGCCACCGGAAACGGUGAUUAAUACCGGAUACGACCACUUCUCGCAUGGGAUGGUGGUGGAAAGUUUUUCGGCCAGGGAUGUGCUCGCGGCCUAUCAGCUUGAUGGUGAGGUAAUGGCUCACCAUGGCUUCGACGGGUAGCCGGCCUGAGAGGGUGACCGGUCACACUGGGACUGGGGCACGGCCCAGACUCCUACGGGAGGCAGCAGUGGGGAAGAUUGGACAAUGGGCGGAAGCCUGAUCUAGCAACGCCGCGUGAGGGAUGACGGCCUUCGGGUUGUAAACCUCUUUCAGCAGGGACGAAGCGCAAGUGACGGUACCUGCAGAAGAAGCACCGGCCAACUACGUGCCAGCCGCCGCAGUAA